Molecule: long non-coding RNA, 4079 nt
Organism: Choloepus didactylus (southern two-toed sloth)
Lineage: Eukaryota; Metazoa; Chordata; Mammalia; Pilosa; Megalonychidae
Exons: 3
Source: RefSeq, a predicted model, not a curated record
CCCAUACAUACAGGCGAACACCAACUCGCGCCUCCACACUUCAUCCGCGCGCGCCCGUCCGCUCGCUCUCGCGCGCCAGCGCCCCCUCCCCACCACGUGACCUGCUGUCUGGGAGCCCGCUGCGCGGCGAUCCAGCAGUGUGGCGCGAACCGAGCCCCUGCUCUCUGGCAGAACAUCCCCUACGCGACUCGCCCUUCUGCCCCGCGGUCCAAAGAGUUCGCGAUGACCUACACACCUCGCGGCGGAAACGUCGGUCUCAUCUCUCAGUUUCUAGCAGAGAAAAGGGAAGAGCCGUCCAGGACGAAUAUAGGCGUGCCCCGGGGACCUGACUCUGAGAUGUGAGGGGUGAUGGGCUGGAAAGGGCCUGGAAGAGGAAAAAAAUGGAAUUGAGCACGGGUGCAACCCGGACUCGAGAAAAGGCCGAGGGGCCGGCGGUUAAGAGCCUGGGCUGUGGACUCGGACGUGUGCGGAAGUCGAUCCGGAUUUCACCACUUCAUUUUAGUGGCCUCGGGGAAGUUACUCAAAUCCUCUGUGCCUGUUUCCUCAUCUUUAAAAUGGCAACAGUAAUAGAACCGAUCUCAUAGUUUCGUUAAUUUUUGAGUUUAUGGAACUUCCUUACUAUACAGCCUGACCUUUCUGGUAAGACCUUUGGUGAAUAUGAAGUCAGAAGGCAGGAAAGAGCAGGUAAGAAGGUGGUGGUGAGACUGGCUCCAUGGGGUAGCGUAUGUAGGUCGGAAACAUGAAUAAGAAUGCAGAAAGGCCAGUUAUAUCGUGUGGCAAACCUUCGAUGUUUGCGAGACGAUGUAAUUAUAGCUAACAAUUUGGGGCGGGGUUGAUUAUAUAUUAAACAUUUCACCAGAAUGGUCUUGUAUAACCCUCACACCCCUAUGAAGUAGGAACUAAUAUUUUGCAAAUUAGAGGCCUGAGGCUCAGAGAUUAAGCAACUUCCCUGCGGUCCCAGUGGCCAACAUUUGAAGUCAGACUCCAGAGUCUCAUUAUGUCAUAAAAGCCAGGCUUUCACUUAUCUCACGGGCCUGUCCCAGUCCCUAACAGUUUGGCACCCUAAUCAGCUGGUUUCUCUGGCUCUCUGCUGGCAGGAGAUGAUUUGGUAAAAACAGUGAGGUAGAAAACAAGUUGGCUGCAAAAAAUGUUAGCUCAGCAUGACAAAUUAAUAAAAAAAUGAGUGUUUCCAACCACUGGCUUUUUGUGUGUUUGGUAAUUCUGGUGAUCAAGGAUUUGCUUUACUUCCUUGGAUCUUAGGGAAUUUUAAUGUGCACAUGCAUAUAAAUAUGUUUUUUCAAGGAAUCAUACUGUAAGCAUACCAUUUACUAUAUAUUUUAUAUUUGCAGUAGCUUGAUAGUAUAGAUAUCCAACAAUUCAUUAAAGAAAUCCUAGUGUGAGACUUUACAUUGUUUCUUAAUAAUUGUCUGAAAAUUAAUUUGAUUUAAAAAGCACAAAAGUUGGGAAAAAACUAAAAAAUUAUGAUAAACUGACAGUAACACUUAAAGACUUUGAAGGUGACAAGAAAUCCCUAUGGAAUACAAGUGGCUGGAAAUAUUCUUUUUUUACUUAUUUAAUCUCUAAUCCAAUUUAUUUUCAACCAAAUCACCUGAGGCUCUAUCUAUGGCAGUCCAAUUCCCACACCCUCAUUCUGAAUGGUGGUCUGAUAUAGCUUGUCUCCUAUUCCUUGUUUCUCUUAGAAAUAGUUUUGGCCUAUACUCUUUGUAACCUAUAUCACUGUUUAGAAUCUUCCCUAGCAAAUAUUCCUUCCAGAUAUGGUCCUUCAUAUUUGCCAGACCUACCUUCCUUUUUGACUCUGGCUACUGAAGUCCUCAUCCUGAGGACAUUCAUUCAUUCAUUCAUCCUGUAGUAUUCAGGUCUUUAGUAUAGUCUGAGGCGUGGAGAGGAGUAAUAACAAUAGUAAUGGUAAAUUGGUGAUAGCUACAAUUUAUGGAGUGCUUACUAUAUGCUUUGUACCCUAAGCACUUUACAUAUAUUAACUCAUUUAAUACUCACAAAAUGCUAUAACAGGUGCUAUUAUUAUUCCCAUUUUUCAAAUGCAGUACCUGAGAUACAAACAGGUUAAGUAAGUUGCUCAAGGUCACAUAAUCUGUAUUGUCUGGGGUCAUCAGGAAGUAGUCAGUAUUUAGUUCUCACCAAAAAUACAUGAGUAGAAAUUAUUAUAAUAACUAUUAAUACCACAGGAAACUAAUCCAUAGAGUUUGGAGGCCAUCUUAAUUUUGGAAAGCCCUGUGCUAUUUUCCUUCUUCCCUUGGCAGAGCUAAACAACAUGGAAGCUGCGUUUAAAACCGGAAGGUGCACUGCAGGAAACUACUCCCCAACCUCCUCCAGUCUCCCUGCUUAUCUAAAUUUUGGGUGGCUGUGAGUCUCUAAAUAGCUAAGUCAGGUGGAGAUGGGCAAGGAGUCAGCCUUGUUUUUUAACAACUUAUUUUUUUUUUAAUAUAGGUAUUUUUAUUAGAGCAGUUGUAGGUUUACAGAAAAAUUAUGCAGUAAAUAUAUAGAAUUCUCGUAUGCCUCUCCCCACACACAGUUUUCUCUAUUACUAAUGUUUUGUAUUAGUUGCAUUAGUGUGGUACCUUUGUUACAAUUGGUGAAUCAGUAUUAUAAUUACAUAUUUAACUAAAGACCAUAGUUUACAUUAGGGUUCUAUUCUUUGUGUUGUACAGUUCUAUGGAUUUUAAAAAAUUUUAUUCUGAUAACAUAUAUACAACCUAAAAUGAACCAUUUAACCAUUUGCUGGUAUACAGUUCAGUGGUGUUAAAUACACAUAGUGUAGUACUGCAAUCACCACCAUGCAUUACCAAAACUUUUCCAUCACCCCAAAUAGAAACUCUGUACCAAUCAAGCAUUAACUCCCCAUUCCCUACACCAACUCCUAUCCUAACAAUCUUUGUUAUAAUUUCUGACAAUGAAUUUGUGUAUUCUAAUUAUUUCAUAUGUGCCAUCAUGCCGUGUUUGUCCUUUUGCGUCUGAUCUAUUUCACUCAAUAUGUUCUCAAGGUUCGUUUAUGUUGUAGCGUGUAUCAGAACUUCAUUGCUUUUUAUGAGAGAGUGAGUAUUAUAGAUUUUCUUUAUCCAUUCUUCCCAACAGCUUUAUUUUAAGAUCAUAUAUAUUCUAGGAAGUUCUGGGUGUCCUCACACCCAUAUUCCUGAUCUUUCAGUAUAAGAACUUGGACCUUAUGGCCCUCAAGUGUGGCGAUAGACAUUUGGAGCUCUUGAAGAACUGCAUGUCCAGCCUGGUGUGACUCAAGGGAGAGGGGUAUGCAGAGAAGGCAACCUCUUAUGAUCAUCAUGACUAGCUUUAUGUAUCUACCUGCUGGGGUGCCAGUCCUGGAUGUUCCACUUGAACCUUGAUACUGCUGCACUGUUGAACAAGAUGGGACUUAAAGCACAGAACCCAAUCUGUGGUGACUUCCAGGAGCCCCAAAUCUGCCAUAAUGCCCUGCCUGCAUUGCACAGUACCUGCAAAAUCUGUUCCCAGGUUAUAGAAUAAGGCCAGACCCCUCUGGGUACGGUGUAAAGGCUUCUCUAAAGAAGGUGAGUAUGCUCAUUGUCAGUUAUUCCAAGGAGAAGAGAAUCUUCACACAGAAAAACUGGGAACAUGGAACAGGGGGAAGGUGGUGUUCUCUGGAUUUCCCUUUUAGGAUCUGGACUUGGAGGAGUCAAGAACUGUUGAUGGCCGUUCUUCAUGACACAGGGAAAAGGGCCUCUACCACAGAGCUGCCUACUAGGAGCCAGGCACAUAGGCUUUCCUAUAGAUCCAAAAAUGAAGACUGGAAGAUAUCUUCAAAUGGAGGCACACACAGAUGAAGGCCAAUGACAUUCCCAUGAAGCCAGCUCUCUUGGCAGCUGGUUAUUCAGUCUUGGCGCUUCUUUCUUGGCAUUCUGUCCUCUACAGGAAAAAAAUAAAAUGGAGGUUACUGAAUAGGCCUCCCACUCAAAUACCUAACUUCCCUGAUGAGCUUGAUUCUUGCUUGCAAACUAUAUGUGGAGUUUGGUUCAGUUAAAUUUUUAUGACACCAAAGUUGUUAAAAGGAAAUAAAUUAUUGUAUUACUAUA